RNAcentral lists this transfer RNA (77 nucleotides) under Acidobacteriota bacterium. RNAcentral describes it as "Acidobacteria bacterium tRNA-Pro". It matches the Rfam family "tRNA". From Rfam's summary of the family: Transfer RNA (tRNA) molecules are approximately 80 nucleotides in length. The record is from RNAcentral. Lineage: Bacteria; Pseudomonadati; Acidobacteriota. RNAcentral also lists the same sequence under 2 other names.
CGGGCAGUAGCGCAGCCUGGUAGCGUACCUGAAUGGGGUUCAGGUGGUCGCGGGUUCAAAUCCCGCCUGCCCGACCA